CCUACGGGAGGCAGCAGUGAGGAAUAUUGGUCAAUGGACGCAAGUCUGAACCAGCCAUGCCGCGUGCAGGAUGACGGCUCUCUGAGUUGUAAACUUCUUUUGUACGGGGGUAAAACGUGACACGUGUAGCGGUUUGAACGUAUCGUAUGAAUAAGGAUCGGCUAACUCCGUGCCAUCAGCCGCGGUAAUACGGAGGAUCCGAGCGUUAUCCGGAUUUUUUGGGUUUAAAGGGAGCGUAGGUGGAUUGUUAAGUCAGAUGUGAAAGGUUGCGGCUCAACCCCUAAAUUGCAGUUGAUACUGGGAGUCGAGAGUACAGUAGAGGUAGGCGGAAUGCGUGGUGUAGCGGUGAAAUGCUUAGAUAUCACGAAGAACACCGAUUGCGAAGGCAGUUGACUGGACUGUAACUGACGCUGAGGCACGAAAGCGUGGGUAGCAAACAGGAUUAGAUACCCGGGUAGUC
Molecule: ribosomal RNA, 460 nt
Filed under: uncultured bacterium
Lineage: Bacteria
Description: partial 16S ribosomal RNA
Rfam family: Bacterial small subunit ribosomal RNA
Source: RNAcentral